GUUGGCUGCUUUGUGAAGAAGAGAGUUAGGAGGAGCAGCAGCAGCCUAUGAGAAACACCAAGAAGAGCCUUCUCUUCUCGAUCCAACUUUGUCAUCCUGUCAUCUCCUGGAGGAGACCGGCUCCAUCCCUCUGUUCAUCUUGGUGCCCCUCCUCUGGACUCAUUCCAAAAGGUCGAUGUCCUUCCUUUUCUGAGGAUCCAGAGGGGGAGACAGGCAGAGUCAGAAAUUGCUUCUGCAUGAGCUUGGAUUUUAUCCUCAGAAGACUCUUCAGCAACACUCCAACACUGUACAAGCAGAGGUACUUAUACACCUCUUAAAUGUAGGGGCCUCCAGAGUCUUUGCCAGGCGGAGCAGUCCCAGCUCUCUCUGCUCUUCCAGGAGCUCCAUCAUCUUAAAGUACUCAUGACAAACCCAGUCCUG
Zonotrichia leucophrys gambelii is the source of this 420-nucleotide long non-coding RNA. RefSeq lists it as uncharacterized. NCBI's taxonomy places the organism in Eukaryota, Metazoa, Chordata, Aves, Passeriformes, Passerellidae. The record is from RefSeq and is a predicted model, not a curated record. The transcript is spliced from 4 exons.